CCUGGGUAGGCUGUUGCUCCACCUCUCAACCAUCAAGUACAGACAAGGCUUCUACUCUGCCGAUUUCACAGGACUUCAAGACACUAUUGAGAUGGUAGUGGAUGUCCUCUGCAAGCCUUGGCUUCAGAGACUCCACGGACAAUUGAGCACCGCAACUGCAGCAACUGGCCACCAGAGGGGAGUCACGAGCUGAGGACCUAAUCCCUUCCCGGGGGCCCCGAAGACCGUUGGGUUGGGGGGGGGUGGUGUUAAGGAUUCUGCUGAGCCCUUUGCCCCCUAUGCCUAACCCUGGGAUGCAUCCCAGCCCGUGCCAGAAUCUCAUGGAAUUGACCUUCUUACAAAAGAAAUGAACUUUAGGCCUAAAAUGCAUCCAAGGCCCCAGUUCU
Long non-coding RNA from Canis lupus familiaris (dog), 386 nucleotides. RefSeq lists it as uncharacterized. Lineage: Eukaryota; Metazoa; Chordata; Mammalia; Carnivora; Canidae. The record is from RefSeq and is a predicted model, not a curated record. The transcript has 3 exons.